GUAACCCGGUGGCACAGCUCCAGUCACAGAUUUUGGAGCUGGGUCAAAAACAUGACCAAGUACUGUCUGCUCUUUCCAACAUGAGUAAUGCUAAUACCAGAUCUUAUGUAUACAUUCCACGAGAGCGACAAAUUGUUCCUUUCAGUGGUGACUGUUGUAAAGAUAACCAAACUGUAGACGAGUUUAUUGAUGAAAUUGAACGUGUCAUUCGAGUCCGUGGUUUAAACAGUGAGGAUCAGGUAGACUUUAUUCUUUCUCAUUUGAGAGGUUCAGCUUUGGAUGAGAUUAGGCUGUGUAUGGGGGGAGAGAUAAAACAACCUCAGGAGCUGUUUUCUUAUUUAAGGGGAGCUUUUAGAGAAAAACGCACAACACCACAGCUGUUACAUGCAUUUUAUUCACGCAGACAAUCAGAUGGGGAAGAUUUUCGCGACUUUUCCCAUGCUUUGUCUCAACUUUUAAAUGCUGCUCUCCAACAGUCCUCUCAUGUUGUGUCUGACCCACAGCUAGCUCUCAGAGACCAGUUCAUUGAAGGGGUGCGAGACUCUACCCUUCGUAGGGAACUGCGCAGGUUUGUGAGAGAGCGGCCACACUGUACGUUGUUUGACAUCCGUGAUGAGGCUAUGAUGUGGUGCAUGGAAGACAAACCUCGCAUGCAGUACGUGAACUUACCAUGCAGAAAGCCAAUGUUGUUCCUGACAAGAGCACAAAACCCAAAUUCAGGCCAAGGUAUACCGACGAUGGUCAGCCAAUCUGCCUAAGAUGUGAAGGAAUAGGACACUUAGCUCGAAACUGCACAGCA
Molecule: long non-coding RNA, 799 nt
Organism: Cyprinus carpio carpio
Lineage: Eukaryota; Metazoa; Chordata; Actinopteri; Cypriniformes; Cyprinidae
Source: Ensembl